RNAcentral lists this ribosomal RNA (376 nucleotides) under uncultured bacterium. RNAcentral's name for it is "bacterial SSU rRNA". It matches the Rfam family "Bacterial small subunit ribosomal RNA", at positions 524 to 898 of the family's 1533-position model. The record is from RNAcentral.
UACGAAGGGUGCAAGCGUUACUCGGAAUUACUGGGCGUAAAGCGUGCGUAGGUGGUGGUUUAAGUCUGCUGUGAAAGCCCUGGGCUCAACCUGGGAAUUGCAGUGGAUACUGGGUCACUAGAGUGUGGUAGAGGGUAGUGGAAUUCCCGGUGUAGCAGUGAAAUGCGUAGAGGUCGGGAGGAACACCAGUGGCGAAGGCGACUACCUGGACCAACACUGACACUGAGGCACGAAGGCGUGGGGAGCAAACAGGAUUAGAUACCCUGGUAGUCCACGCCCUAAACGAUGCGAACUGGAUGUUGGGUGCACUUAGGCACGCAGUAUCGAAGCUAACGCGUUAAGUUCGCCGCCUGGGGAGUACGGUCGCAAGACUGAA